UACGUAGGAGGCAAGCGUUGUCCGGAGUUACUGGGCGUAAAGCGCACGCAGGCGGUCUUGUCAGUCUGUAGGGACAGGGCACAGCUCAACUGUGUCAGGCUUACGGAAACUGCAAGACUUGAGGGCUUCAGAGGGAUGGGGGAAUUCCGGGUGGAGUGGUGAAAUGCGUAGAGAUCCGGAAGAACACCAAAGGCGAAGGCACCAUCCUGGGGAGUCACUGACGCUCGGGUGCGAAAGCUAGGGGAGCGAACGGGG
This 255-nucleotide ribosomal RNA is filed under the name uncultured bacterium. Its description in RNAcentral is "partial 16S ribosomal RNA". It matches the Rfam family "Bacterial small subunit ribosomal RNA", at positions 524 to 777 of the family's 1533-position model. The record is from RNAcentral.